Molecule: RNA transcript, 895 nt
Organism: Nelumbo nucifera (sacred lotus)
Lineage: Eukaryota; Viridiplantae; Streptophyta; Magnoliopsida; Proteales; Nelumbonaceae
Source: RefSeq, a predicted model, not a curated record
CAUCAAUUGAUCAGGUCACCAAUCUUCACUACAGAGGAGCAAGGCUGAAGGGAAUGAAAAAUGAAGUCCUAGCAGCCAUUUUUUAUGCAAAAUACUCUUCAACAAGGUUUUUAAAACUAAAUUGGACAUUAAACUGGUCAGGGCUCUGAUUGCCGGGUAGAAUGAUCCAUUGUUUGAAUCGAAUAAAUGGUCCGUUCUGACAAAAAAUAAAAAAUAAAAAAACAGCGGAACCCACUACUAGAAUUCUUAUAUUUAGAGGCACUUGAUCGGAGGCGGUCAGGGAAAAAUGCCUCUAACAUAUUAAUUGAGGCAGACUUAUUGAGUUACUUUAGAGGCACUUUUUGAUGCCUUUGAAGUUAUAAUUUUGCGCAUUUUUGGCGGACGGAUAAAAUUAGUCGCCGAUUUAGUUUGCCGCCCAAACACCGUUGCGCGCACAUCUCCUUUUUUUCCUUUUCCUCUCGUCUUCUCUUCCUACUAAUAUGUCCUAAUCGAAGUCAAAUGGGUAAUAGGAUUCUUGUCAGUGACCUACAUUGAUUUACCUACAUUGGAACUGAAACGGAAGCAGUCAGGGAUACGACACCUAUUCAUCGUCUUAAUAGGUUGGCGAUACGGAUUAAAUCUUCUAUACCUAUUUGCAGAAAUUAUUGGCAUCUGGAAGCCUUGGCUUUAAACACAAAUUUUCUAGUGUCAGUUGUAGAGAAAGAAAGGAUUGGAUGAAGACUACAAAGAGCAUUUUUUUUUGAGAUGUUAAAAGGAAUUUCUUUUGGACUACUCUAUAUUUGAUUUGUAGGUUAAAAAAAGAAGACAUGUACUCAAGGAAGAAUGAAUAUAAUGAGGGCUGAAUGUUGUGUUUUUUUUUUUUUGUUCUUAAAAUGAUUAUGGAAGUCAAUUGGAA